UACGUAGGGGGCUAGCGUUGUCCGGAAUCAUUGGGCGUAAAGCGCGCGUAGGCGGCCCGGUAAGUCCGCUGUAAAAGUCAAAGGCUCAACCUUUGAAUGUCAGUGGAUACUGCCGGGCUAGAGUCCGGAAGAGGCGAGUGGAAUUCCUGGUGUAGCGGUGAAAUGCGUAGAUAUCGGGAGGAACACCAGUGGCGAAGGCGACUACCUGGCCUGUUCUUGACGCUGAGGCGCGAAAGCUAGGGGAGCAAACGGG
RNAcentral lists this ribosomal RNA (253 nucleotides) under uncultured bacterium. RNAcentral describes it as "partial 16S ribosomal RNA". It matches the Rfam family "Bacterial small subunit ribosomal RNA", at positions 524 to 776 of the family's 1533-position model. The record is from RNAcentral.